This is a long non-coding RNA of Gambusia affinis (western mosquitofish), 317 nucleotides long. RefSeq lists it as uncharacterized. The transcript is spliced from 3 exons. Lineage: Eukaryota; Metazoa; Chordata; Actinopteri; Cyprinodontiformes; Poeciliidae. The record is from RefSeq and is a predicted model, not a curated record.
AGAGAUGCUCAACAGCACAAUAUCAAGCAUGAGCUGCGCAAACUACCACGUCGUUGUGGGAGGGAUUGCCAAAGUGUUCCCUGCCAUACCCCUGCUUAGACGACAGGGAAUCGCUUCUGUUCUGCUGGCCUACCUCAAAAGCUCUACCUCUGUCAUCAACAAGCCAGCUUGCAGGAUGGGACUCGAGACCGAUGUUGAAUGGAUUGAAACAAACCUGGGACCCUUUUCUCAAUACACAACUUACUCUGACCUCAAAGCCUUCAACCUCUCCCAGGUAAUUGAGGCAUUUCACCAAAGAUCCUCUCUACCGAAUACGA